Molecule: ribosomal RNA, 546 nt
Filed under: uncultured bacterium
Lineage: Bacteria
Description: partial 16S ribosomal RNA
Rfam family: Bacterial small subunit ribosomal RNA
Source: RNAcentral
UGGGGAAUAUUGCACAAUGGGCGAAAGCCUGAUGCAGCAACGCCGCGUGAGUGAUGAAGGUCUUCGGAUUGUAAAGCUCUGUCUUUUGGGACGAUAAUGACGGUACCAAAGGAGGAAGCCAUGCGCUAACUACGUGCCAGCAGCCGCGGUAAUACGUAGGUGGCGAGCGUUGUCCGGAUUUACUGGGCGUAAAGGGUGCGUAGGCGGAUGUUUAAGUGAGAUGUGAAAUACCCGGGCUUAACUUGGGUGCUGCAUUUCAAACUGGAUAUCUAGAGUGCAGGAGAGGAGAAUGGAAUUCCUAGUGUAGCGGUGAAAUGCGUAGAGAUUAGGAAGAACACCAGUGGCGAAGGCGAUUCUCUGGACUGUAACUGACGCUGAGGCACGAAAGCGUGGGUAGCAAACAGGAUUAGAUACCCUGGUAGUCCACGCCGUAAACGAUGAGUACUAGGUGUAGGAGGUAUCGACCCCUUCUGUGCCGCAGUAAACACAUUAAGUACUCCGCCUGGGAAGUACGAUCGCAAGAUUAAAACUCUAAAGUGAGUUGAC